AGCGAACGCUGGCGGCAGGCUUAACACAUGCAAGUCGAACGCUCCUAGCAAUAGGGGAGUGGCAGACGGGUGAGUAACGCGUGGGAACAUACCCUUUGGUUCGGAAUAACUCGGCGAAAGCCGUGCUAAUACCGGAUAAGCCCCUCACGGGGGAAAGAUUUAUCGCCGAAGGAUUGGCACGCGUCCGAUUAGCUAGUUGGUGAGGUAAUGGCUCACCAAGGCGACGAUCGGUAGCUGGUCUGAGAGGAUGAUCAGCCACACUGGGACUGAGACACGGCCCAGACUCCUACGGGAGGCAGCAGUGGGGAAUAUUGGACAAUGGGCGCAAGCCUGAUCCAGCCAUGCCGCGUGAGUGAUGAAGGCCUUAGGGUUGUAAAGCUCUUUCGACGGGGACGAUAAUGACGGUACCCGUAGAAGAAGCCCCGGCUAACUUCGUGCCAGCCGCCGCGGUAAUAC
This 456-nucleotide ribosomal RNA is filed under the name uncultured bacterium. RNAcentral describes it as "bacterial SSU rRNA". It matches the Rfam family "Bacterial small subunit ribosomal RNA", at positions 29 to 526 of the family's 1533-position model. The record is from RNAcentral.